This is a non-coding RNA of Manis javanica (Malayan pangolin), 687 nucleotides long. The record is from RefSeq and is a predicted model, not a curated record. NCBI's taxonomy places the organism in Eukaryota, Metazoa, Chordata, Mammalia, Pholidota, Manidae.
CUGAGCUAUAGUGAAAAAGCACUGAACUUGGGCUCAGGAGAUUGGCUUACAGUCUCACUCCUGCUGCUUGUCAUUUGGAUAGACACAAUUUCUUCGAGACUCAAUUUUCUCUCCUGUGAAAUGGUGAUGAUUCUACCUGCUCUGCCCUCUUUCUAUAUUGGCUGUGAAGAUCAAAGGAUUUUGUUGAAAGCUCUUCGUGACUGUUCCUGUUGCUCCACAUCUUGAGCAAGAACUCUGUUGUUUGACACUUUAACUGUUGCCAUUUUGACAGAAUGGGACUUUAGCAACUUGAUACAAACAAAGACUUGUGAAGAGCUUGCCCAUUGGACCUUAUUCUUGCUGCUUUUGGAACCCUGUAACUGACACCAUGUAAACAAGCUGGGGCUGCUUGCUGAACAGGAGAGAGAUCCCCAAAGCAGAGCCACCUCACUGACUGGCAGCUGAUUGCCAAGGCCUGAAUUAUCAGAGCUGAAAGCAGCUGGAGAACUGCUGAGAGGAUCCCGGCCUGACUUGCCCGCUCAUAAGAAUGGUGUGCUAGGUGAAUGAGUAUUGCUUUAAGCCACUAUUCUUUUUAGCUUUUUGACUUCCAAAGCUGCUGUAAAGUCAGGUGCACCCUUCACUCAGCUUUCUCUAAUGGUGACAUCUUACAAGCUGGAAAACAAUAUCAAAAACAGGAAAUCAAUAUAG